GACGAACGCUGGCGGCGUGCUUAACACAUGCAAGUCGAACGGAAAGGCCUCUUUCGGGGGGUACUCGAGUGGCGAACGGGUGAGUAACACGUGAGUAACCUGCCCUUGACCUUGGGAUAACUUCAGGAAACUGGGGCUAAUACCGUAUAGGAGCUCCUGCUGCAUGGUGGGGGUUGGAAAGUUUCGGCGGUUGGGGAUGGACUCGCGGCUUAUCAGCUUGUUGGUGGGGUAGUGGCUUACCAAGGCUUUGACGGGUAGCCGGCCUGAGAGGGUGACCGGCCACAUUGGGACUGAGAUACGGCCCAGACUCCUACGGGAGGCAGCAGUGGGGAAUAUUGCACAAUGGGCGGAAGCCUGAUGCAGCAACGCCGGGUGCGGGAUGACGGCCUUCGGGUUGUAAACCGCUUUCGCUCAUGACGAAGCUUUGUGUGACGGUAGUGGGUAAAGAAGCACCGGCUAACUACGUG
This 467-nucleotide ribosomal RNA is filed under the name uncultured bacterium. Its description in RNAcentral is "partial 16S ribosomal RNA". It matches the Rfam family "Bacterial small subunit ribosomal RNA", at positions 28 to 507 of the family's 1533-position model. The record is from RNAcentral.